UUUCCGUAGGUGAACCUGCGGAAGGAUCAUUACAGAGAGAUUGCCCUCACGGGUAGCCCUCCAACCCUUUGCCAACCGUCGUUUGUUGCUUUGACGGGCCCGUCUCCGGACCGCCGGCGCUCGCUGGCCCGCGCCCGUCAGAGGAUCAUCCAACUCUGUCAAACUGUCUGAGAAGAAAUACAAUUAUCAAAACUUUCAACAACGGAUCUCUUGGUUCUGGCAUCGAUGAAGAACGCAGC
Molecule: unclassified non-coding RNA, 239 nt
Filed under: uncultured fungus
Lineage: Eukaryota; Fungi
Description: sequence contains ITS1, 5.8S rRNA gene
Rfam family: 5.8S ribosomal RNA (bases 191-239)
Source: RNAcentral